GGAGAAUGCAUGGAUCAAGUUUGAAAAACAUUUUUUAAAUUAAUUUAAUUAAUGUUCCAGUAAAAUAUGCAACUCUUUCGACUGGGAAGAGAAUACCAAACAAUUUAAAGGGACACUCAGCCCAUUCUGUCUUUCUGAAGAGGUAAAUCUCUAAAAACAUAAAUAAGUUUUGUAUUUGUGAGCUUUUCACUCAAACGGUAGGUAAAGCUGCAUAUUUUAGGGGUAAUAAUUUCACGGUACUGUGAUCUCGUAGCAGGGCAGAGUGCGUCGGAGCAGCUCAAAAUAAACUGGCGUCACCAUGUUCAUGUCUGUGAAGGACAACCAGUGUCCCGGCUCACUGGUGUCUUCAUAAUGGAGAGGGACAGGAGGAAUGCGGCCUCUCUAGUGUCCACCAGGGGGCGACUCUUCUAAUCCCAUAGCAGUCUAUGACAAAAUGACUCCACUUCUCUCUUGAUUUAUUCCCUCGGUGAACGCUGUAAACACGAGUUUAUGGUCUCAAUCUCUAGUUUCAAGUCUUCUUCAAUACAGCGUGAUGUUCAUUUAGCAAAUGAUCCAGUCACUGAAUCACGUUUCCAGUGGGUGAUUGACAUGUUGACAACGUGUCCACAAGCUCACAGUUUUGCUUCCACUGUGUCCUCGUGCAAUCAGAACCUUCUCAUCCACAAAUAGCAGACAUGCCAUUAUCCAUCUUCUCAUCACCUCCGCCACUCCUGGUUUCUAUGUCAUUUUGACCUUUGCAGCACAUAGCAGUUACAGAGAGUUAAUAAUUCCUUUUUGCUCUGAUGGGUAUUGAAUGUGGCGGUGGCUUGUGCAAGCCGAGGGCCGCAGCUUUUUAUAGCCGGCACACCGAGGGAGGGGUACACCUUCCAUGGAGAGGAAUGGAUCCUAGGUCUCCCCGGCUCAGCUGUCCUCCAUCGACUGUAAAUCAGCGCCGGGGGGCGACUCACUCACUUGCGAUGCUCCAACACUCACUACUGUCUGUCCCUGCAUGCGGUUUGCUCUGCAGGACGUCGGGAGGGGGGGAAUGAUCUCCAUUCCACUCGCCGCCACCAAGCCUCGGCGAGUCUGGAAAGCUGUGAUGUCCUCUGCUGCCGGCUCUCUGCGGUGUCCUGCUCGUCCGUCAGAGUAUCCCCCCCCCCCACCCCCACCC
Gasterosteus aculeatus aculeatus (three-spined stickleback) is the source of this 1150-nucleotide long non-coding RNA. Lineage: Eukaryota; Metazoa; Chordata; Actinopteri; Perciformes; Gasterosteidae. The record is from Ensembl.